This 253-nucleotide ribosomal RNA is filed under the name uncultured bacterium. RNAcentral's name for it is "partial 16S ribosomal RNA". It matches the Rfam family "Bacterial small subunit ribosomal RNA", at positions 524 to 776 of the family's 1533-position model. The record is from RNAcentral.
UACGGGGGGGGCAAGCGUUGUUCGGAAUUACUGGGCGUAAAGGGCUCGUAGGCGGCCAACUAAGUCAGACGUGAAAUCCCUCGGCUUAACCGGGGAACUGCGUCUGAUACUGGAUGGCUAGAGUUUGGGAGAGGGAUGCGGAAUUCCAGGUGUAGCGGUGAAAUGCGUAGAUAUCUGGAGGAACACCGGUGGCGAAGGCGGCAUCCUGGACCAACACUGACGCUGAGGCGCGAAAGCGUGGGGAGCGAACAGG